RNAcentral lists this microRNA (21 nucleotides) under Pristionchus pacificus. RNAcentral describes it as "ppc-miR-8364s-5p". Lineage: Eukaryota; Metazoa; Nematoda; Chromadorea; Rhabditida; Neodiplogasteridae. The record is from miRBase by way of RNAcentral.
UCUUCAUUCCGCGUGCUGUCU